AGGCUGCAACUCGCCUGCAUGAAGUUGGAAUUGCUAGUAAUCGCGAAUCAGAAUGUCGCGGUGAAUACGUUCCCGGGCCUUGUACACACCGCCCGUCACACCAUGAGAGUCGAUAACACCCGAAGCCUGUGAGCUAACCGUAAGGAGGCAGCAGUCGAAGGUGGGGUUGAUGACUGGGGUGAAGUCGUAACAAGGUAGC
This 199-nucleotide ribosomal RNA is filed under the name uncultured bacterium. Its description in RNAcentral is "partial 16S ribosomal RNA". It matches the Rfam family "Bacterial small subunit ribosomal RNA", at positions 1302 to 1500 of the family's 1533-position model. The record is from RNAcentral.